RNAcentral lists this ribosomal RNA (274 nucleotides) under uncultured Burkholderia sp. Its description in RNAcentral is "partial 16S ribosomal RNA". It matches the Rfam family "Bacterial small subunit ribosomal RNA", at positions 65 to 339 of the family's 1533-position model. Lineage: Bacteria; Pseudomonadati; Pseudomonadota; Betaproteobacteria; Burkholderiales; Burkholderiaceae. The record is from RNAcentral.
AACGGCAGCACGGGUGCUUGCACCUGGUGGCGAGUUGCGAACUGGUGAGUAAUACAUCGGAACAUGUCCUGUAGUGGGGGAUAGCCCGGCGAAAGCCGGAUUAAUACCGCAUACGAUCUACGGAUGAAAGCGGGGGACCUUCGGGCCUCGUGCUAUAGGGUUGGCCGAUGGCUGAUUAGCUAGUUGGUGGGGUAAAGGCCUACCAAGGCGACGAUCAGUAGCUGGUCUGAGAGGACGACCAGCCACACUGGGACUGAGACACGGCCCAGACUCC